This 465-nucleotide ribosomal RNA is filed under the name uncultured bacterium. RNAcentral describes it as "partial 16S ribosomal RNA". It matches the Rfam family "Bacterial small subunit ribosomal RNA", at positions 28 to 507 of the family's 1533-position model. The record is from RNAcentral.
GACGAACGCUGGCGGCGUGCUUAACACAUGCAAGUCGUACGGUAAGGCCCUUUCGGGGGUACACGAGUGGCGAACGGGUGAGUAACCCGUGAGUAACCUGCCCACAACUUUGGGAUAACGCUAGGAAACUGGUGCUAAUACUGGAUAUGUGCUCCUGCUGCAUGGUGGGGGUUGGAAAGCUCCGGCGGUUGUGGAUGGACUCGCGGCCUAUCAGCUUGUUGGUGGGGUAGUGGCCUACCAAGGCGGCGACGGGUAGCCGGCCUGAGAGGGUGACCGGCCACCUUGGCACUGAGAUACGGCCCAGACUCCUACGGGAGGCAGCAGUGGGGAAUAUUGCACAAUGGGCGCAAGCCUGAUGCAGAAACGCCGCGUGCGGGAUGACGGCCUUCGUGUUGUAAAACGCUUUCAGCAGGGACGAAGCUUUUUGUGACGGUACCUGCAGAAGAAGCACCGGCUAACUACGUG